This 253-nucleotide ribosomal RNA is filed under the name uncultured bacterium. RNAcentral's name for it is "partial 16S ribosomal RNA". It matches the Rfam family "Bacterial small subunit ribosomal RNA", at positions 524 to 776 of the family's 1533-position model. The record is from RNAcentral.
UACGAAGGGGGCUAGCGUUGCUCGGAAUCACUGGGCGUAAAGGGUGCGUAGGCGGGUCUUUAAGUCAGGGGUGAAAUCCUGGAGCUCAACUCCAGAACUGCCUUUGAUACUGAAGAUCUUGAGUUCGGGAGAGGUGAGUGGAACUGCGAGUGUAGAGGUGAAAUUCGUAGAUAUUCGCAAGAACACCAGUGGCGAAGGCGGUUGCCUGGAGCUUUGCUGACGCUGAGGCGCGAAAGCGUGGGGAGCGAUCCGG